RNAcentral lists this ribosomal RNA (419 nucleotides) under uncultured ammonia-oxidizing beta proteobacterium. RNAcentral's name for it is "bacterial SSU rRNA". It matches the Rfam family "Bacterial small subunit ribosomal RNA", at positions 197 to 597 of the family's 1533-position model. The record is from RNAcentral. Lineage: Bacteria; Pseudomonadati; Pseudomonadota; Betaproteobacteria.
UGGAGGAAAGUAGGGGAUCGUAAGACCUUGCGCUUUUGGAGCGGCCGAUGUCUGAUUAGCUAGUUGGUGGGGUAAUGGCCUACCAAAGCUUCGAUCAGUAGCUGGUCUGAGAGGACGGCCAGCCACACUGGGACUGAGACACGGCCCAGACUCCUACGGGAGGUAGCAGUGGGGAAUUUUGGACAAUGGGCGCAAGCCUGAUCCAGCCAUGCCGCGUGAGUGAAGAAGGCCUUCGGGUUGUAAAGCUCUUUCAGCCGGGAAGAAAAGGCUGCGACUAAUAAUCGCAGUUCAUGACGGUACCGGAAGAAGAAGCACCGGCUAACUACGUGCCAGCAGCCGCGGUAAUACGUAGGGUGCGAGCGUUAAUCGGAAUUACUGGGCGUAAAGGGUGCGCAGGCGGUUUUGUAAGUCAGAUGUGA